GUAUGUGGUAGAAGGACGGCCCCCAUCCUCUGACACACUCGCACGCCUCCAGGAUGUGUCACUAUCCCUUCCACCUGCCUCUUCCCGUCACUCCCCGCCCGCUGCUCCGUCUACCUACACUUGCUCUGCCUCACUCCAUCCCACUUUUUUUUUUUUUUUUUUGUUUUUAUCUCCCUUUUCAUUAUUUUUCUCUCUCCUCUCGUCCUCCCCCUCCGCACGCCGUGUGUCACCGGCUGGAAGAAGAAAGCAAAAAUGUUGGGGCAGACGAGCGCAAUAAGAGAACGGGAGCAGCGUGGAGCGGUCGUGAGUUUUACGCCGAGAGAUGACUGCGACCUCCAUGAGGCCGACCCUUCUUUGAUGGACUAUCCUGGAAGAGGGAGGCCAGUGAGAGGGAGAGGAUGAAGAGGAAUUAGAGGAAGGCGACUUACCUCCCUCCAGUCCAGACUCAUUGUCCUGACACACACACACACACACACACACGCCGCUGUGUCUGUGUGAGGACAGGGGGGUGCAGACGGUCAUUUUGAACGCCACCAUCCUGCAGACCGCCAUGCUCGCUUCUGAGGUGUAGGUGGUCUUCAUCACGUUGUCGUUUGGACAUGCCCUUCACCUGCGCCUGCUUUUGCGGCCUGAACGGCUUCCUCAACAGACGGAAGGUGAAGAAAAAGGAGCGGCAAGUGGAAGAGGAGAGUGAGAAGGUAGCGCAAUGGAAAGAUCAGGAGACAGAUGUGUGACCUUCACUUUACUUAGAAUUAUUCUCCUGUGCCAGACUGCAAUAUAAUGCACACUUUAUAUUCUUUUUUUCACGUUAGGGAUGUAAACAAACUUAAGUGCUUUUUUUUUUUUUUGCUUCCUGACUUGUUGACUUCAAAUGGUAAAAAAGGUGCCGGAUUCAAUAUUUCUCUGUGUCUUAAACUGCCUGGAUGGAGAAACCACACCGCUGUCGUGAGCCUCAUUGCACAAGACAAAUCAUAUAAGUGGAAAAAAACAACAAAAAAACACCGUUGCCCGUCCUUACGGAAUUUUACUUUAAGGUAGGGUUGUCCCGAAACCAAUAUUUUGGUACCGGUACCAGUACCAACAUGUAUUUUGAUACUUUUCGAUACUUUUCUACAUAAAGGGGUCCUCAAAAAUGGCAUGUAUUUGAACAAAAACAGUACGCUAAACAUAUGUUUCUUAUUGCAAUUUUGUCCUUAAAUAAAAUAGUGAACAUACGAGAAAACGUGUCUUUUAUUAGUAAGUAAGCAAACAAAGGCUACUAAUUUAGCUGCUGACAUAUGCAGUAACAUAUUGUGUCAUUUACCUACCUAUUAUUUGGUCAACAUUAUGAAGGACAAGCUGUAAAAAUUGAUUAUUAAUCCACUUGUUCAUUUACAGUUAAUAUCUGCUUACUUUCCGUUUCAACAUGUUCUAUCUACACUUCUGUAAAAAUGUAAUAAUCACUUAUUCUUCUGUUGUUUGGAUACUUUAUAUUAGUUUUGGAUGAUACCACAAAUUUUGGGUAUCGAUCCGAUACCAAGCAGUUGCCGUAUUUUCCGCACCAUAAGGCGCCCUGGGUUAUAAGCCGCGCCUUCAAUGAACGGCAUAUUUCAAAACUUUGUCCACCUAUAAGCCGCCCCGUGUUGUAAGCCGCAUCUAACUGCGCUAAAGGAAUGUCAAAAAAACAGUCAAAUAGGUCAGUCAAACUUUAAUAAUAUAUUAAAA
Long non-coding RNA from Nerophis lumbriciformis (worm pipefish), 1704 nucleotides. RefSeq lists it as uncharacterized. NCBI's taxonomy places the organism in Eukaryota, Metazoa, Chordata, Actinopteri, Syngnathiformes, Syngnathidae. The record is from RefSeq and is a predicted model, not a curated record.